Pygocentrus nattereri (red-bellied piranha) is the source of this 1308-nucleotide long non-coding RNA. RefSeq lists it as uncharacterized. Lineage: Eukaryota; Metazoa; Chordata; Actinopteri; Characiformes; Serrasalmidae. The transcript has 5 exons. The record is from RefSeq and is a predicted model, not a curated record.
GCUCAGGAUGCUGCCCUCGCGACCCGAACCCCGGAGAAGCGGAAGAUGAUGGAUGGAUGGAUGGAUACAUGUAUGUAAUAUAUAUGUUGUGUAUUACCUGAACAAAGAUAACCAAAGGACCAGUCCAUGAAGCGAAAGAGUCGAGACCAGAUAUAAGGUGUCAAGUUAUUGAGAAUCACAGGUUCGGCUAGAUUCCGGUUCCUCCUGUUAAGGUGUUUAGCUCUCAACACAAAGCGAACCCCAUGCAGUGCCACUACUGUAAAAUUUCAACACCACAACAAGACAUCCUAUUCGAGCACUACAGACUUCAUCAUUGGCAAGCUGGCUCUGGACCAGCUUCUCCUUCACAGACAGUGAACUGUCGUAGCUCUACUACUCUGCCCUGAGAGAUGUUAUGGUGAAGGAGGAAUAUCAGACAAUCCAUGAUAGGUACCUGAAGGGGAAUCUGUCUCUCACCAUCACUGACUUCACCCAGAUGGACUGAUACACAUGCACCUGCAAUAACAAGGACAUCUGUGAUGUGGCUCUUCAACUGGAGCAUGAGUCCUGACUGAUCUUUCACCAUUCAUUUCUGACAGAAGCCAGUGGUCUAAAUGCUUUGUUUUUCUCCUCAGCUUUGAGGUCGUCAGUUCAGAUAAAACCUGAUGGUCCUAGUUUUGGACUUAUAACAGCACAGAUGGAGUGAAUGGAUCCCAGUGGUACAGACGCUCAUUGGAGUGCAUGCCAUGGAUCUGCUCGAGCUGAAAGGACUGACAGUGGAGUUUACACCAUAAAUGUCACCAGGAGCAAAGCAGUUAAUCAAGUCUACACAGUGACUAUCCAAGGUACGAUUCCAUUUUCCUGAAAAUAUUUCCCCAAGAUUGCAUGCUUGUCAAUGUAAUAUUUAAAAAAAAAAAAGAUGUCAGAAAUUUCAAGCAACUGCUGAACUAAGUAAUCCAUUAAGACUCACUGUACAUUUGUGUGUGGUUUUGUAGAUGAUCUGCCACAUCCAGAUGGAAAUCAGGUGCUAGUAGUGCCAGUGUGGCUGAUCAUAUUGCUUAUAUUGCUAGUGGUGCUGAUGGACGCUGUUUCUGUAAUGUGAUGGAGGAAUAUUUUUAUGCAGCGCUGGAUCAAUAUGGUUGGAGGUGUACAAAAAAGUGGUUUAAAAAAAAAAGGUUGUCCCUUCCCAGUAAUAACAACAAAUCCUAAAACCUUUGGUACACUGCACAUCCUUUAAAAUCAUAUCAGAUUAUAAAAAGACUGGCGGCUUAGAAGAUGGAUGGAUGGAUGGCUUGUUCCUGCAUUCUCAGAAAUAAAGGUACUAAACGA